UAGUCAUAUGCUUGUCUCAAAGAUUAAGCCAUGCAUGUCUAAGUAUAAGCAAUUAUACAGCGAAACUGCGAAUGGCUCAUUAAAUCAGUUAUCGUUUAUUUGAUAGUACCUUACUACAUGGAUAACCGUGGUAAUUCUAGAGCUAAUACAUGCUAAAAAUCCCGACUUCGGAAGGGAUGUAUUUAUUAGAUUAAAAACCAAUGCCCUUCGGGGCUCUCUGGUGAUUCAUGAUAACUUCUCGAAUCGCACGGCCUUGCGCCGGCGAUGGUUCAUUCAAA
This 278-nucleotide ribosomal RNA is filed under the name uncultured eukaryote. RNAcentral describes it as "partial 18S ribosomal RNA". It matches the Rfam family "Eukaryotic small subunit ribosomal RNA", at positions 21 to 303 of the family's 1831-position model. The record is from RNAcentral.